AUUGAACGCUGGCGGCAGGCCUAACACAUGCAAGUCGGGCGGAUGAAGGGAGCUUGCUCCUGGAUUCAGCGGCGGACGGGUGAGUAAUGCCUAGGAAUCUGCCUGGUAGUGGGGGAUAACGUCCGGAAACGGGCGCUAAUACCGCAUACGUCCUGAGGGAGAAAGUGGGGGAUCUUCGGACCUCACGCUAUCAGAUGAGCCUAGGUCGGAUUAGCUAGUUGGUGGGGUAAAGGCCUACCAAGGCGACGAUCCGUAACUGGUCUGAGAGGAUGAUCAGUCACACUGGAACUGAGACACGGUCCAGACUCCUACGGGAGGCAGCAGUGGGGAAUAUUGGACAAUGGGCGAGAGCCUGAUCCAGCCAUGCCGCGUGUGGGAAGAAGGUCUUCGGAUUGUAAAGCACGUUAAGUUGGGAGGAAGGGCAGUAAGUUAAUACCUUGCUGUUUUGACGUGACCAACAGAAUAAGCACCGGCUAACUUCGUGC
RNAcentral lists this ribosomal RNA (485 nucleotides) under uncultured bacterium. Its description in RNAcentral is "partial 16S ribosomal RNA". It matches the Rfam family "Bacterial small subunit ribosomal RNA", at positions 30 to 508 of the family's 1533-position model. The record is from RNAcentral.